AACGAACGCUGGCGGCAUGCCUAACACAUGCAAGUCGAACGAGACCUUCGGGUCUAGUGGCGCACGGGUGCGUAACGCGUGGGAACCUGCCCUUAGGUUCGGAAUAACUCUCCGAAAGGGGUGCUAAUACCGGAUAAUGUCUUCGGACCAAAGAUUUAUCGCCUUUGGAUGGGCCCGCGUUGGAUUAGCUAGUUGGUAGGGUAAAAGCCUACCAAGGCGACGAUCCAUAGCUGGUCUGAGAGGAUGAUCAGCGACACUGGGACUGAGACACGGCCCAGACUCCUACGGGAGGCAGCAGUGGGGAAUAUUGGACAAUGGGCGAAAGCAUGAUCCAGCAAUGCCGCGUGAGUGAUGAAGGCCUUAGGGUUGUAAAGCUCUUUUACCCGGGAUGAUAAUGACAGUACCGGGAGAAUAAGCUCCGGCUAACUCCGUG
This 433-nucleotide ribosomal RNA is filed under the name uncultured bacterium. Its description in RNAcentral is "partial 16S ribosomal RNA". It matches the Rfam family "Bacterial small subunit ribosomal RNA", at positions 29 to 507 of the family's 1533-position model. The record is from RNAcentral.